Molecule: ribosomal RNA, 1212 nt
Filed under: Nesophrosyne sp. 17 GMB-2012
Lineage: Eukaryota; Metazoa; Arthropoda; Insecta; Hemiptera; Cicadellidae
Description: 16S ribosomal RNA
Rfam family: Archaeal large subunit ribosomal RNA (bases 975-1134)
Source: RNAcentral
UAUUUCUUAAAAUUUGUUAUAUUAAUAGUUUCUUAAUUUUUAGUAUUAUUAGAAAUUAUAAUUAUUUUUUAAACUGUGAAGGUUAAAAUAUAAAAUAUUAAGAAUUAGUUUUUAGUACCUUUUGUAUCAGGGUAAGUUAAUUAAUUUAAUUAUUUUAUUUUCCCGAAUAAAAAAGAUCAAGUUGGUUGAUAUUAAUUUGUGUCAAAAAAUUUUGUAAUAUACUACUAGUAAUUAAAUGUUAGUCGUUUUUUGUUUAUCUGGUUGUUAAGGAAAAAAUUUAAUUUUACAUUUUUUUAAUUGUUUUAUAUUAUUAAUAUUUUAAGUGUAAUUUUACUGGGGAUAAUCUCAGUAAACUCAUUAUUAUGUNGNNNNGAUAUGUAUGUUAUUUUUUUUCUUUUAAAUUUUGUAUUAAGUUUGUAUUAAAUUAGUUUCAUUUUAUAUUAUUUUUUUAUGUAUAUUUUUAUACUUAGCUUUGAGAUUAAAUUUUUAUUUUUUAUUAAUAAUGAUUUAAUUAGUAUAAUAGAUUAUUUUAAAGCUAAUGAAUUCGACAAAUAUUAUUUCCAACUGUUUAUCAAAAACAUUUCUUUUUGGUUUUAUGUAAAAAGUAUCUUCUNCCCUAUGGUUUAAUUAUAUCUAAAUGGCCGCAGUNUUUUGACUGUGCAAAGGUAGCAUAGUAAUUAGUUUCUUAAUUGGAAGCUUGUAUGAAUGGAUGUAUGAGAAUUAUAUUUUAUUUCUUAAAUAUAUUAAAAUUUAAAUUUAAAGUUAAAAUGCUUUAGUUGAUUAUUGGGACGAUAAGACCCUAUAGAACUUUAUAUAAAAUUUUUAUUAUUCAGUUUAGAUUAUUUAUAUUUUAUAAUAAUGAGUUAUAAUUUGCUGGGGUGGUGGCUAAAUCAAUAACUUUAGUUUUUUUUAUCAUUUAUUUAUGUAAGUUUGGAUCCUUUCUUUUAAGGAUAAUAAGAUUAAGUUACCUUAGGGAUAACAGCGUAAUUUUAAUGGGGAGUUCAUAUCUAUAUUAUAUUUUGCGACCUCGAUGUUGAAUUAAGAAUAUUUUAAGAAGCAGUAUUCUUAAUAGAUAAGUCUGUUCGACUUUUAAAUUCUUACAUGAUUUGAGUUCAAACCGGCGUGAGCCAGGUUGGUUUCUAUCUGAUAAAAAUUCAUAAUUGAUAUUUAGUACGAAAGGACCAAUGUUAGUCACUAGUUUGUGUGAAUAAU